CCUACGGGGGGCAGCAGUGGGGAAUAUUGGACAAUGGGCGAAAGCCUGAUCCAGCCAUGCCGCGUGUGUGAAGAAGGCCUUCGGGUUGUAAAGCACUUUCAGUGGGGAAGAAAGCCUUGGGGCUAAUACCCUCGAGGAAGGACAUCACCCACAGAAGAAGCACCGGCUAACUCCGUGCCAGCAGCCGCGGUAAUACGGAGGGUGCGAGCGUUAAUCGGAAUUACUGGGCGUAAAGCGCGCGUAGGCGGUCUGAUAAGCCGGUUGUGAAAGCCCCGGGCUCAACCUGGGAACGGCAUCCGGAACUGUCAGGCUAGAGUGCAGGAGAGGAAGGUAGAAUUCCCGGUGUAGCGGUGAAAUGCGUAGAGAUCGGGAGGAAUACCAGUGGCGAAGGCGGUCUUCUGGACUGACACUGACGCUGAGGUGCGAAAGCGUGGGUAGCAAACAGGAUUAGAUACCCCUGUAAUC
Molecule: ribosomal RNA, 465 nt
Filed under: Vreelandella stevensii
Lineage: Bacteria; Pseudomonadati; Pseudomonadota; Gammaproteobacteria; Oceanospirillales; Halomonadaceae
Description: partial 16S ribosomal RNA
Rfam family: Bacterial small subunit ribosomal RNA
Source: RNAcentral